Long non-coding RNA from Andrographis paniculata, 2477 nucleotides. RefSeq lists it as uncharacterized. The record is from RefSeq and is a predicted model, not a curated record. Lineage: Eukaryota; Viridiplantae; Streptophyta; Magnoliopsida; Lamiales; Acanthaceae. The transcript has 6 exons.
UGUGAGAAAUGGCGGGCUGAGGGUUAGAGCUAGGGUUUGGGCUUCCCCUUCGGCGAGCGAGACGUCCAAUCAGAGGCUACAAGGAUGGUAGCUUCACAUCGACGGCUUCUCGCGCGUGAAGGCAAAGGAUGGGGCUUUUGUGACGUGUAGUUGGUCGAAGCAGCAAUGGCGCUAGUGUUCUGAGAUUCCUGGUCGCGGAGGCAGCCUUAUAGCCCGCGGUUACGUAUAGGUUUCUCGGUGCAAAAUUGGUCUCAUUAUAUUUUCGUGUAAAAUUGGUCUCAUUUCAAACGAAUUCAUACAAAUUUAAUUCGAGUUGCAAUUUUGAUUGACUUUGUUUAUACGGUCGUUGUGGUAGCCUAUGUGCCAUCAAACAUGCCUAGGGUUCACACACACUUGUAUAUCUCAAGAACACAUCAGUGUUAUUUAGUACAUGGUUGUGUAUUAUGUAACACGGAAAAUACAGGAGUGUAUUAAUUAACAUAACUGUGUUUCUGAGGUACUCUAUACCUAGUGUGUUGGAUCAUGAUUGUGUUAUGUUUCUGAGAUACAUGCCUGUGUUGAUGACAUGUAGGUUCCCGUAUCAGCAAAAUCUCUUAAAUUUAUAACAUAAUAUAGUUAAAUAGUUAAAUUUGCAUGAAUUCAUUUGAUAUCGGAUUAAUUUUGCAGAAAAUAUACAUAUAUAUUAUGGGAUUAUAUUUGCACUGACCAACCUUUACUUGAACUAAUAAUGCAUUUUCCCAUGUAAUUUUUAAAUUCUUUCGGGUAGCGAUUACAUAUGCUUGUAUUCUUCACAGUGGGCGCCCCCUGAGUAAAUUUAACAAGAAAAAUAUUAUGAAUUACUAAAUUAGAAUGUGAAAUGUUAAUUUGUUAUUGUGGUAUCACUAUAUUUUAUGCCUAGUUCUUGUGUAACUUUUCAUAAUUGUAAUAAAUGUUUUAAUUUGUGCGGAAUUUAACCUUAGUGUUAAGUUUGAAGGCCUUGUGAGUGAAAGAUGAGGCCUUUUGGCAUGCAAGACAAUAAUAUUUCGUGUUUGAGCAGCAGGCGUUGCAAUUAAGUACUGCAAGACACUGCUAGUUCUUCUGUUAGUUUUUAUAGCCAAUAUUUGGUUUCUUAAUUUCUGUCGUAUUUAUAAAUAGUUCUGAGCUUUGUUUUGAUCAUUUAUGCCUAGCCUAUGCCUAAUGAUUACUCGAAAAGAACGGAGAUUUGAAUGGUGCUUUUUGUUGAAGCCUGGUUAUCACUUUGGCUCCAAAAGCGUCAGUGUAAAUAACAAUUUCCACUGGAAAUGAAGGCAGGGUACAUUAUUGUAAAUCUAAGAAUAUUUACUAUUGAAGAAUUAGAGUUGUGCGAGCUCCUGUCAAACUGCUUGAAUGUAAUGCUCAAGCUUGAGUUCAAAAAGAUAUUCUAAAAUUUUUAGUCAAGUAAUUCAGCUUUGAUGAGACUCAAUUUACUUGUGUAUUUUUGGGGUCUUGGUUUCUGGUUUAUGUAAGAUGUGUUGUUUUGCAAGAGAAAAUAAUAUAUUUUUAUUGGUAAUCGUAAGAAUUGUUUAAUAAAGAAAUUGAAGAAAAUCACCAAGUAAAUAGAGGUUAACUGUGUCUUUCAUAUCAUAUUUAUAUAUAUAUAUAUACAUCGUAAAGAAGGUUUCAGCUUGUGCUUGAUGAGGGUUGGAAUCAAUUUUGAGAAUAUGGUUUUUUCUUCUGAAGUUUGGUUUUAGUUUUUUCUAUUAUGCAACCAACAAUUUCCUAUAUACAUUUUUUUUUUCUUACAGAAUAAUAUAUAUAUAUAUAUAUAAACUACUAUUCAAACCCCAAAAAACAAAAAAUACAAAAUGAAACUCUAGAAGAAUAUUAAAUACAUAUAUAUAAAUAUAUACGUGUGUGUGUGUGUGCGCACGGCUACUAUCUCCUGUAUGGUAGCUGAAACUUGGUAGCAUAUAUUAGCAGUAUGUCCACUUACCAACCAAUAAAGCAAGAACUACAGAUGAUGAGAAUGAGCCAGUUUUUAUUGAAUCAAUUGUUAAUCAACAAUAACAGUGACAGUUUCCGAGUUUCUGAACUUCUGCUGUUGGAUUUUCCAGCUCAGUCUUCGUGCAGCUGAAGCUCAAGAAACAUCUCUUCUCUUGUUUCUCCGAAAUACAUUGCUUGCUAUAUGGUAGGUAGGUAGAUCCACGCAAAAAUCUGGACAAAUUUCAGCUAAUAAUUCAGCUUUGCUUGGCUGUCUCAUGACAACCUAAUCUUGCUUGCAUCUCCAAGGUGCUACAAAUCCUAUCAUUAGACGGGCUUAAAUGUUCGAGCUAUACGUAAGCCAUGUGUUGUUUCGCGAACUUUCUUGUUCCUCUGAGUCAUCAUUUACCAUUGGAAGUUCUUAUUUUGUUCGGUAUUUUUGUAUCCAUUUCAGAAGUGCUUUGAUGGAUAGGUAAUUUGUCCGGACUUUGUUGAAAAUGAUUUACUACUAAUUUAUAUCUAUGAAAUUUUCAUAAUUA